RNAcentral lists this long non-coding RNA (302 nucleotides) under Setaria viridis. Its description in RNAcentral is "long non-coding RNA (SVIR_LNC000516)". Lineage: Eukaryota; Viridiplantae; Streptophyta; Magnoliopsida; Poales; Poaceae. The record is from RNAcentral.
AUUACUUAAGGAAUUCAAGAGUGUAACCAUUGAACAUAUUCCUAGAUCUUACAAUGAAGAGGCUAACAAGCUAGCUCAAAAUGCCUUUGGGUAUUGGCCGAUUCACCUUAGUGUAACAACCUAGCUUAAUUAAGCCAUGUUUAAGUCUUAAACAAGUCAUUAGUGCUUAAAGAAGAACUUUGACAAUAAUUUAGGCCAGUGAAAGUACACUUUUGCCCCUCACAAACUUAAACGCCGCCCAAACAGUAACUUAAGAACUUAAAAAUCUGCCCAACUAAGAGUUGUAGAACUCAACUUUUCUG